GACGAACGCUGGCGGCGUGCCUAAUACAUGCAAGUCGAGCAGACGGAUGGGAGCUUGCUCCCAGACCGUCAGCGGCGGACGGGUGAGUAACACGUGGGCAACCUGCCUGUAAGACUGGGAUAACUCCGGGAAACCGGGGCUAAUACCGGAUAACUCUUUCCCUCACAUGAGGGAAAGCUGAAAGAUGGCAUCUCGCUAUCACUUACAGAUGGGCCCGCGGCGCAUUAGCUAGUUGGUGAGGUAACGGCUCACCAAGGCGACGAUGCGUAGCCGACCUGAGAGGGUGAUCGGCCACACUGGGACUGAGACACGGCCCAGACUCCUACGGGAGGCAGCAGUAGGGAAUCUUCCGCAAUGGACGAAAGUCUGACGGAGCAACGCCGCGUGAGUGAUGAAGGUUUUCGGAUCGUAAAACUCUGUUGUCAGGGAAGAACAAGUACCGGAGUAACUGCCGGUACCUUGACGGUACCUGACCAGAAAGCCACGGCUAACUACGUG
This 498-nucleotide ribosomal RNA is filed under the name uncultured bacterium. RNAcentral's name for it is "partial 16S ribosomal RNA". It matches the Rfam family "Bacterial small subunit ribosomal RNA", at positions 28 to 507 of the family's 1533-position model. The record is from RNAcentral.